RNAcentral lists this ribosomal RNA (363 nucleotides) under uncultured rumen bacterium. RNAcentral's name for it is "partial 16S ribosomal RNA". The record is from RNAcentral.
UAUUCCCCACUGCUGCCUCCCGUAGGAGUCUGGGCCGUGUCUCAGUCCCAAUGUGGCCGUUCAACCUCUCAGUCCGGCUACCGAUCGUCGCCUUGGUGGGCCGUUACCCCGCCAACAAGCUAAUCGGACGCGAGUCCAUCUCUAAGCGAUAAAUCUUUGAUAUCAAAGUCAUGCGGCUUCAAUAUGUUAUGCGGUAUUAGCGAUCUUUUCAGAACGUUAUUCCCCUCUUAGAGGCAGGUUACUCACGCGUUACUCACCCGUCCGCCACUAAGUUAAAAAUCCGUCAUCCCAAAGGAAUCCGUCAAAAUAACUCCGUUCGACUUGCAUGUGUUAGGCACGCCGCCAGCGUUCAUCCUGAGCCAA